Molecule: ribosomal RNA, 724 nt
Filed under: uncultured bacterium
Lineage: Bacteria
Description: bacterial SSU rRNA
Rfam family: Bacterial small subunit ribosomal RNA (bases 1-598)
Source: RNAcentral
AGAGUUUGAUCCUGGCUCAGUCAAGUCGUAACAAGGUAGCCGUAUAGAACCUUACCAACCCUUGACAUACUCGUCGUCGCACCAGAGAUGGUGCUUUCAGCUAGGCUGGACGAGAUACAGGUGCUGCAUGGCUGUCGUCAGCUCGUGUCGUGAGAUGUUCGGUUAAGUCCGGCAACGAGCGCAACCCACAUCCCUAGUUGCCAGCAGGUUAAGCUGGGCACUCUAUGGAAACUGCCCGUGAUAAGCGGGAGGAAGGUGUGGAUGACGUCAAGUCCUCAUGGCCCUUACGGGUUGGGCUACACACGUGCUACAAUGGCAGUGACAAUGGGUUAAUCCCAAAAAACUGUCUCAGUUCGGAUUGGGGUCUGCAACUCGACCCCAUGAAGUCGGAAUCGCUAGUAAUCGCGUAACAGCAUGACGCGGUGAAUACGUUCCCGGGCCUUGUACACACCGCCCGUCACACCAUGGGAGUUGGUUCUACCCGACGACGCUGCGCUAACCCUUCGGGGAGGCAGGCGGCCACGGUAGGAUCAGCGACUGGGGUGAAGUCGUAACAAGGUAGCCGUAAAUCACUAGUGAAUUCGCGGCCGCCUGCAGGUCGACCAUAUGGGAGAGCUCCCAACGCGUUGGAUGCAUAGCUUGAGUAUUCUAUAGUGUCACCUAAAUAGCUUGGCGUAAUCAUGGUCAUAGCUGUUUCCUGUGUGAAAUGUUAUUCCCCGCUCAA